AUUAUUGUUCCUGUGUACAUCAAGGCGCCCGAGCUAUCCACAAUUCUUGAGAACAAUGCAGGACUUGAGUAUCUUACCAAGACAAGAAAAGUUUGUGUCAGAAGGCUGCUUAGUGCUAAUGCUCAUGGGUACCCUAUACCACCACCGGCGCUUGAAUACAUGAAGCAAUAUCACAAGGCAUAUUUCACAGAUGAGGCACAAGAGCAGUUGAAGGUGGCUCAUCCGUAUGUAUCAAGCAGUGCACCAGCACACGAAGACGAUGAUCAAAGCCAUACUUCUGAUGACAAUGGUGCAGACAGAAAGAAACGUAAAGACUUGACAGAGAAUCCUACUCACCAACAUCAAGCAUGUACUUCUGGUGUUUCGAGUGUACUCCAGCAAACGAUUUCUAAAAGGCCCAAGUUCUGUCUGGAAGAAAUUCAUAGGACAGGUCACCCUGAAGUGGACGCGAAACGGAAAUCCGUUUCGUCUGCUACUCAUCCAGGAUUUCCAACUGAAGAUGAACUUAUGCUGGCAGGAGUUUCAGCUACCCCUGAGGAGUACCAAGAAUUUCUCAAGACAAUGGAGAUGAUGUACAAAACAUAUGAGAAUCCAUGUUAUGACGCUGAAGGCCUAGCUCUCGGUUCAUUGAAGAGAUCAGAGUACUUCCUCAUGCCAGAUACCAUACAGUAUGAACCAUGUACAGUUGAUAGCAUUUGCCGAGGGCCUGCAUUCUGGAAACCUGAUCGGAAGCUAGUUUCUCAGGUGUACGCCCUGGCUAAAACGCAGGCGCUGCAGCUUGGCAUUGCAGGGGACAGGCAAAUUAAGUGGGCGGUUCUACGAGCUCAGGCAUUUUCUGCUGGUUGGUAUCAUGGACAGAAAUACUCAAGGCUUUGUUCGCCUCCAAAGAACUCAGCUGAGAUUUAUGCCAACGACCUGGGAGCCAUUGAGAAAUACCUUUCUGAUGCUUGGAAGCUUGUCUGCUUCCUGCCAUUUCUCCACGAGUUAGCGUUCCGAACGAUUGGUAGCACAUGGUCAUGGAAUUCUGACAAUGCAGCUAAAUAUGAUUGCAAAGCAAUGAAUGCAAUGGCAGGGAAGAUUCAAGCAAACCCUUGGAAGUAUCAUGCAAUGCCAAAGCCUUAUAACUUGAAGCCUUUAAGUGAAGAAGAACAACUUGAGGUCACGGCUGCUAUGACCUGUGCUGAAGAUUUUGCACCGAUAACCUUUGCGUUUACUCAGUCUGUGAUGGGACAUCAUCAACUUCCAGGGUACAUGGCACUAAAGAAGUAUGCUAGUGGUGCUCUCUAUGAGCGCUUCAAAAAGUUCUUUGCUUUUAUGAGGAAAAAGUUAGCUAAGGAUAUCGGCGCAAAGAUAGUUGCUGAGGCAUCUGGUAUUCCCCAA
This 1380-nucleotide ribosomal RNA is filed under the name Triticum aestivum (bread wheat). Its description in RNAcentral is "partial small subunit ribosomal RNA". Lineage: Eukaryota; Viridiplantae; Streptophyta; Magnoliopsida; Poales; Poaceae. The record is from RNAcentral.